Molecule: ribosomal RNA, 253 nt
Filed under: uncultured bacterium
Lineage: Bacteria
Description: partial 16S ribosomal RNA
Rfam family: Bacterial small subunit ribosomal RNA
Source: RNAcentral
UACGUAGGGUGCGAGCGUUGUCCGGAUUUAUUGGGCGUAAAGGGCUCGUAGGCGGCGUGUCGCGUCGGGAGUGAAAGACCGGGGCUUAACCCCGGUUCUGCUUCCGGUACGGGCAUGCUGGAGUGUGGCAGGGGAGACGUGAAUUCCUGGUGUAGCGGUGGAAUGCGCAGAUAUCAGGAGGAACACCGGUGGCGAAGGCGGGUCUCUGGGCCAUUACUGACGCUGAGGAGCGAAAGCGUGGGGAGCGAACAGG